CCUACGGGUGGCAGCAGUGGGGAAUAUUGGACAAUGGGCGAAAGCCUGAUCCAGCCAUGCCGCGUGUGUGAUGAAGGCCUUCGGGUUGUAAAGCACUUUCAGUGGGGAAGAAAGCCUUGGGGCUAAUACCCUCGAGGAAGGACAUCACCCACAGAAGAAGCACCGGCUAACUCCGUGCCAGCAGCCGCGGUAAUACGGAGGGUGCGAGCGUUAAUCGGAAUUACUGGGCGUAAAGCGCGCGUAGGCGGUCUGAUAAGCCGGUUGUGAAAGCCCCGGGCUCAACCUGGGAACGGCAUCCGGAACUGUCAGGCUAGAGUGCAGGAGAGGAAGGUAGAAUUCCCGGUGUAGCGGUGAAAUGCGUAGAGAUCGGGAGGAAUACCAGUGGCGAAGGCGGCCUUCUGGACUGACACUGACGCUGAGGUGCGAAAGCGUGGGUAGCAAACAGGAUUAGAUACCCGUGUAGUC
This 465-nucleotide ribosomal RNA is filed under the name Vreelandella stevensii. RNAcentral describes it as "partial 16S ribosomal RNA". It matches the Rfam family "Bacterial small subunit ribosomal RNA", at positions 338 to 795 of the family's 1533-position model. Lineage: Bacteria; Pseudomonadati; Pseudomonadota; Gammaproteobacteria; Oceanospirillales; Halomonadaceae. The record is from RNAcentral.